UCGAGAAUCUUCGGCAAUGGGCGAAAGCCUGACCGAGCGACGCCGCGUGCGGGAUGAAGGCCCUCGGGUUGUAAACCGCUGUCAGUGGGGAGGAAGGCUCUGUGAAGAGCAGGGUUUGACCUAUCCGCAGAGGAAGUCCGGGCUAAGUUCGUGCCAGCAGCCGCGGUAACACGAACCGGACAAACGUUAUUCGGAAUCACUGGGCUUAAAGGGUGCGUAGGCGGUCUGACAAGUUGGGUGUGAAAUCCCUCGGCUCAACCGAGGAAUAGCGCUCAAAACUGUUGGACUUGAGGGAGUUAGAGGUAAGCGGAACUUAGGGUGGAGCGGUGAAAUGCGUUGAUAUCCUAAGGAACACCAGUGGCGAAAGCGGCUUACUGGAGCUUUUCUGACGCUGAGACGCGAAAGCUAGGGUAGCAAACGG
Molecule: ribosomal RNA, 421 nt
Filed under: uncultured bacterium
Lineage: Bacteria
Description: bacterial SSU rRNA
Rfam family: Bacterial small subunit ribosomal RNA
Source: RNAcentral